UUCUCUCGUAACGACAGGAGUCAUGAUUUCUUGGUGUGAAUAACACAACACAUACAAUCGUACUCACAUACAUAUUUGAAAAUUUGAACGCUUUUUGACAUUGCAGAAAUGAGUG
Bradysia coprophila is the source of this 115-nucleotide long non-coding RNA. NCBI's taxonomy places the organism in Eukaryota, Metazoa, Arthropoda, Insecta, Diptera, Sciaridae. The record is from RefSeq and is a predicted model, not a curated record.